UAUCAUAUGAAGAUAAUUUUAUUCGAGAUAUUGUUGAACAUUAAAUGUGAACAUCUCUUUCGAUUGGGGUUAAUCUUUUAUUUGUCGAAAGUUUAACCUCUUUCACUAGAUCCAACCCUUUUUAUAGCUUCUAUAACUUUUUUUUUUCAUUAUUCAACACUAUUAUUUCUCUUGUAUCUUUUCCUGUGUCUUUAUAGAAGGGAUAAAAGAGAAAUAAAACAUAUAUAUAAUAAAACUUUAGUAUAAAAAGAAGGAAAAAAUACCUCCAGUUAUCAUCAAAAUUUUCAUGUGAAUUUUUUACUAAAGUUAAGUAAUCAAAUUGAGUGAGAUAAUAAAAUAAACACCACACAUUGAUGUAUAUCUAAGAGAUACUUAACAAUAAUUCUUAAUUUAUAAAUGACUUCUUGUAACUUUGUAAGUAUUAAAAACUACUAAAUCAAGGUUAAUAAUGCAUAGAGUUUUACUUAUAUAAAGUGAUGGACCAAUUUUCUGUGUAAUGUAUACAAAGGACGAAAAAAAUGAUUAUAGUUCUAAAAUUCGUUUAUGUUUUGAUCAUAUUUUUUCCUCUAAUUGUUCUUGUAAUGAGCAAUCAUACUGUAUUAUUAUGUACUAAACAUCGUGAUUGUCAAUCUAAUACAUGUGACUCUCCUUUUGUUCCGGGGUGCCUUAAAAUUUUUUGUACAUGCCAACUCAUGGACAAAAGUUGAAAAAUAAUUAUAUUUUAUUUUUAAGCGUAUAAUUUUCAUGUAAGUCAUGAUUUUUUUUUUUAAGGAUUAUGUAAGUCAUGAUAUUGGAACUUGAAGAAUAAAUUUAAUAAAUACCGUACUAGUGUAUUGCUCUGGUAUUAUCCAAGUUAGCCAUGUAUAACAUUAUUGUUCAUGUUAUGCACAAUAUUUAUUUAAAAAAUUAUAUAUUUUAUUAGUACAUGUUUAUAUUGCUCAAACAUUAUUGUCAAUCA
Trifolium pratense (red clover) is the source of this 958-nucleotide long non-coding RNA. RefSeq lists it as uncharacterized. The transcript is spliced from 2 exons. NCBI's taxonomy places the organism in Eukaryota, Viridiplantae, Streptophyta, Magnoliopsida, Fabales, Fabaceae. The record is from RefSeq and is a predicted model, not a curated record.